GACGAACCGUGCGAACGUUGUUCGGAAUCACUGGGCUUAAAGGGCGCGUAGGCGGAUGACCAAGUCAGGGGUGAAAGCCCGCAGCUCAACUGCGGAAGUGCCUUUGAUACUGGUUGUCUCGAGGGAGAUAGGGGCAUGUGGAACUUCCGGUGGAGCGGUGAAAUGCGUAGAUAUCGGAAGGAACGCCGGUGGCGAAAGCGACGUGCUGGAUCUCUUCUGACGCUGAGGCGCGAAAGCUAGGGGAGCAAACGGG
Molecule: ribosomal RNA, 253 nt
Filed under: uncultured bacterium
Lineage: Bacteria
Description: partial 16S ribosomal RNA
Rfam family: Bacterial small subunit ribosomal RNA
Source: RNAcentral